ACACUCCUACGGGAGGCAGCAGUGGGGAAUAUUGCACAAUGGGCGCAAGCCUGAUGCAGCGACGCCGCGUGGGGGAUGAAGGCCUUCGGGUUGUAAACUCCUUUCGCUAGGGACGAAGCUUUUUUGUGACGGUACCUAGAUAAGAAGCACCGGCUAACUACGUGCCAGCAGCCGCGGUAAUACGUAGGGUGCGAGCGUUGUCCGGAAUUACUGGGCGUAAAGGGCUCGUAGGUGGUUUGUCGCGUCGUCUGUGAAAUUCUGGGGCUUAACUCCGGGCGUGCAGGCGAUACGGGCAUAACUUGAGUGCUGUAGGGGUAACUGGAAUUCCUGGUGCAGCGGUGAAAUGCGCAGAUAUCAGGAGGAACACCGAUGGCGAAGGCAGGUUACUGGGCAGUUACUGACGCUGAGGGGCGAAAGCAUGGGUAGCGAACAGGAUUAGAUACCCUAGUAGUCCC
RNAcentral lists this ribosomal RNA (455 nucleotides) under uncultured organism. RNAcentral's name for it is "partial 16S ribosomal RNA". It matches the Rfam family "Bacterial small subunit ribosomal RNA", at positions 333 to 797 of the family's 1533-position model. The record is from RNAcentral.